Molecule: long non-coding RNA, 1233 nt
Filed under: Cyanistes caeruleus (blue tit)
Lineage: Eukaryota; Metazoa; Chordata; Aves; Passeriformes; Paridae
Description: lncRNA (ENSCCEG00000012617.1)
Source: RNAcentral
AUGAGGAUAGUAUGGAUCAGGAAUGAGUGUUGCCAUCUCUUCCCUUUGCACCUGCCUUGCCUCCCUGAUCUGCCUGCUCUGCUUCUGGCCAGGAUGCAUGGUAACAUGGUAGAGGUCCCACAGUUGCACGACUUUGCUGCCAUCAGGAAGUCUCAGAUAAACUCAAAGGAGCUCUGCUUUGUGGAAGGAAUGAAAACACAUCAAUUUUCACUCAACUGAUUCACAUGGGGUCAGGGUUUUGCCUUCCUUUCCACAGCUCUUUCAGGUAACAAGCAACAGAACGAGAGGAAAUGGCCUCAAGUAGCCCCAGGGGAUGUUUAGAUUGGAUAUUAGGAAAAUUGUCCUCACUGCAAGGAUGGUCUAACAUUGUAAAAGGCUGCUCAGAGAAGUGUUGGAGUCACCACUAAGUUUUGAAGUGUUCAAAAAAUGUGUAGAAGCAGCAGUUCAGGGCAUGGUUCUGUGGUGGACCUGACAGUGCUAAAUUAAUGUUUGGACUUUUCCAGCCUCAAUGAUUCUGUGAUUCCAUGAUUCCAUAUCUGUGCCCCUCUGAUUCUUUCCCUGCUCGUGGUGAGAUGCAGAUUUGGGAGUUCAUAUCAGCUUGCAUUGCAUGUUGCUUCAUGGAAAGCAUAUUCUUCCCAAUUACUUUGGCCUCUAAUUGAGCUGAACUAAACAAUGAUGUGUUAACUUGGUUUGCUUCCUGUGACUCAAGGAUUUACAAAAGAUAACCCAUUUAGGGCUCAAGGUGCCUGUGCUAAUUGUUUUCCUGAACAAUCCAUCUUUCAAUCACCUUUUCCAUUAUCCACAGAGAUUAACUUCGUUGUCUUUGGAAGUAAUUGACACUGCUUUUUAUUUUUCUAUCAUCUCAUAAUGAUGUCAGGGUAAACAUAGCCAGAGGUAAUUAAACCAGCAAAGGGGAUAAAUUCUGCAUGCUGGGCAAACAAAAAUGGAAAAUCCAGAGAGAUUUAGUCAAUAGUACUGUGAGUUUAAUCAUCUCAUAAGAUAUAUUAAUUGGGAUCAUAUCCAGCUUUGUUUGUAAUUUAUUUUCCUCCAGUUUGCAAGUGUGAACAAUGGUUGCCCCUAAGUAUCAAAUAAUGGUAACUGAUAAACCAAGGCAGCUGUUUCUACCUAAACCCUGGCUUAUUGUAGGCAAUGGCUCAUAAAUGUUAAUUUUGUAAAAAUGAGUAAUCCACUUGAACACACUCUCAAAUAAAGAAGCCAAACUAUUUCUGUUCA